Molecule: ribosomal RNA, 836 nt
Filed under: Haptophyta environmental samples
Lineage: Eukaryota; Haptophyta
Description: bacterial SSU rRNA
Rfam family: Bacterial small subunit ribosomal RNA
Source: RNAcentral
GAGGAAUAAGCAUCGGCUAACUCCGUGCCAGCAGCCGCGGUAAUACGGGGGAUGCAAGCGUUAUCCGGAAUCAUUGGGCGUAAAGCGCCUGUAGGUUGUUUAAUAAGUCUGUUGUUAAAGACUAGGGCUCAACCCUAGGAAAGCAAUGGAAACUACUAGACUUGAGUAUGAUAGGGGUAGAGGGAAUUUCUAGUGUAGCGGUGAAAUGCGUAGAUAUUAGGAAGAACACCGGUGGCGAAGGCGCUCUACUGGAUCAUUACUGACACUCAGAGGCGAAAGCUAGGGUAGCAAAAGGGAUUAGAUACCCCUGUAGUCCUAGCCGUAAACGAUGGAUACUAGAUGUUGCGUUUAUUAUGCAGUAUCGUAGCUAACGCGUUAAGUAUCCCGCCUGGGGAGUACGCUCGCAAGGGUGAAACUCAAAGGAAUUGACGGGGGCCCGCACAAGCGGUGGAGCAUGUGGUUUAAUUCGAUGCAACGCGAAGAACCUUACCAAGGCUUGACAUACUACAAAUUUCUUUGAAAGAGGAAAGUGCCUUCGGGAAUGUAGAUACAGGUGGUGCAUGGCUGUCGUCAGCUCGUGUCGUGAGAUGUUGGGUUAAGUCCCGCAACGAGCGCAACCCUUAUUUUUAGUUGCUAAUUUAUUAGGUUUUCUAGAAAGACUGCCGGUGACAAACCGGAGGAAGGUGAGGAUGACGUCAAGUCAGCAUGCCCCUUAUGCCUUGGGCUACACACGUGCUACAAUGGUUAAGACAAAGAGUUGCGAGCUCGCGAGAGUCAGCUAAUCUCAUAAACUUAGCCUAAGUUCGGAUUGUAGGCUGCAACUCGCCUGCGUGAAG